AGUGAACGCUGGCGGUAGGCCUAACACAUGCAAGUCGAACGGCAGCACAGGAGAGCUUGCUCUCUGGGUGGCGAGUGGCGGACGGGUGAGGAAUACAUCGGAAUCUGCCCAGUCGUGGGGGAUAACGUAGGGAAACUUACGCUAAUACCGCAUACGACCUUCGGGUGAAAGAGGGGGAUCGCAAGACCUCUCGCGAUUGGAUGAGCCGAUGUCGGAUUAGCUAGUUGGCGGGGUAAUGGCCCACCAAGGCGACGAUCCGUAGAUGGUCUGAGAGGAUGAUCAGCCACACUGGAACUGAGACACGGUCCAGACUCCUACGGGAGGCAGCAGUGGGGAAUAUUGGACAAUGGGCGCAAGCCUGAUCCAGCCAUACCGCGUGGGUGAAGAAGGCCUUCGGGUUGUAAAGCCCUUUUGUUGGGAAAGAAAUCUUUCAGGCUAAUACCCUGGGAGGAUGACGGUACCCAAAGAAUAAGCACCGGCUAACUUCGUG
Molecule: ribosomal RNA, 490 nt
Filed under: uncultured bacterium
Lineage: Bacteria
Description: partial 16S ribosomal RNA
Rfam family: Bacterial small subunit ribosomal RNA
Source: RNAcentral